AGCACAAACCAACGGUCGUGAAAACCGAGCAAAGCUCCGUGAAAAACGCAGAAAUUCGUCGAACGAAAUUGAUAUCGAGCGAUAAGCUGGAUUAAAGCGGAAAUCGAGGAAAAUCGAGGAAAAUCAGUGAUUUUCCCAGCGCGCGAGUGUGUGUGUGAAAAGCAGCCAGGAAUUGCAAACCCAAAACCACAGCCAAGACAAACUUUGACGGUAACCACGGAUACUACGCCAGGGAAAUCCGCACGUUGAUGGCUGCCACCAAAAUCAUCGAUGCGCCGCGCAACGGCCACGAGAUGGCGCCACUGAACACCCGGGCGAGGGGCGACGGCACCCACGGGGUGACCAUCGUCCUCACCGCCCCGCAGCGCAACUCCGUGCAGUCGGUGGACAUCCCGGGCAACGAGCCGGAACGCGCCGCCUGGAGCGGCAAGAUGCAGUUCUUCCUCAGCAUCAUCGGCUACUCGGUGGGCCUCGGCAACAUCUGGCGGUUUCCCUACCUGUGCCAACAGAACGGAGGCGGUGCGUUUCUGAUACCUUUUAUGAUUAUGCUGAUACUGGAAGGCAUUCCACUGUUCCUUAUCGAGCUGGGGAUCGGCCAGAGGAUGCGAUUGGGUGCCUUGGGUGUGUGGAACACCAUCCAUCCCUGGCUGGGUGGCAUCGGCAUCUCGUCGUGCAUAGUGACGCUGUUUGUGGCUCUGUACUACAACGUGAUUAUCACGUGGGUUUUCUUCUACCUCUUCAACAGUUUUCGGUAUCCGCUGCCCUGGUCCACCUGUCCGUUGAACGGCACAGGCUUUGAGCUGGAAGAGUGCGCCAAGUCCUCGGAGACGACGUACUUCUGGUACCGCACCACCUUGGAUGCAGCCCCCUCCAUGGACGAGCCCGGUGGCCUCAAGUGGUGGAUCGUGCUCUGCCUGAUGCUGUCCUGGACCAUUGUCUUCUUCAUCGUGAUGAAGGGCAUCCAGAGCUCAGGCAAAGUGGUCUAUUUCACCUCGCUGUUCCCCUACAUUGUGCUGACCAUCUUCUUCAUCCGCGGCAUUACGCUGAGAGGAGCCGGAGCUGGCCUGAUGCACAUGUACACGCCGAAGGUGGAGAAGCUACUCGAACCCACUGUCUGGCUGGAUGCAGCCACGCAGGUCUUCUACUCCUUCGGCCUGGCCUUUGGCUCCCUGAUCGCCUUCGGGAGCUACAACACGCCGAAGAACAACUGCGUGCGGGAUGUGCUCCUGGUGUCCGUCUGCAAUGCCGUCACGGCCAUCUACGCCAGCGUGGUCAUCUUCGCCAUUCUCGGGUUCAAGGCCACCGUGAAUGUGGACCGCUGUGUGGCCAGUAAUACGGACAUCCUGGUCAAGAACAAACUGCUGGGCGUAAAUGAGACCCAUAACUAUGAACAGACCAUGAGUAUGCUGAAUGGCACCGAGCUGACCAGGCUUCAGUUGAGCGAGUGCAGUCUGGCCCACGAACUGGACAAUGCUGCCGAGGGCACUGGCCUGGCCUUCAUCGUGUUCACCCAGGCCAUCGUGGAGCUGCCCGGGGCUCCCUUCUGGGCCGUGCUCUUCUUCACCAUGCUGCUGUCGCUGGGACUGGGCUCGCAGAUCGGCAUCCUGGAGGGCAUGCUGUGCACCCUCUUCGACAUUGACAUUAUCAAGCGGGUUAAGAAACAGCAUGUCACUGGCGUGGUGUGUCUCUUCUGCUUCAUUGUCGGUUUCAUCUUCUGCACAGGUGCCGGCGAGUACUGGCUCAAGAUGUUCGACUCCUUUGCCGGCACCAUUGGCCUCGUGGUGGUGGCCCUGAUGGAGAUGAUAGCAGUGAUCUUCAUCUACGGACACGAGCGCUUCACUGAGGACAUCUACCAGAUGACUGGCUACCGACCUGGUAUCUACUGGCAGUGGACUUGGCGGUACAUUGGUCCGGUGAUCAUGGUCUGCAUCCUGGUCUCAUCGGUGGUCUUUAUGGUCAUCAGGAAUCCCACUUACGGAGCUUGGAAUGCCGACUUGGGCAUGAUCGAGCAGAAGAGCUACCCCAACUGGGUGAUGGCCAUCGCCCUGUCCAUGAUCCUGGCCGGGGUCCUGCCCAUGCCCAUCGUGUUCCUCAUGCGUAGCUUCCAGUGCCUGAAGGUGGACCUGGACAUCCACCAGGGAUCGAUCCGCCGCAACGAGACAACCGCCUCCACCAAGGAGAUGAUCGACAAUGACGACGAUAAUAUGAGUCCGGAUAUGCCACCGCAAGAUUCACUAGCGGCGACACGCUUCACAAUUGGAGACUUUGAAAAUUAGAACGAACCGUAACCGAAAACGAAAUCGAAGCCAUGGAUACGAACUCAAGUGCAGCGCCAAGUUUUAGAGAACCCCAAACAAAAAUCAGCAGCCAGAUAAAACUAGGAUAGCUCUUAAAGUAGUUCACCAAAGCCCUUUGCAUGGCCCAGAAACACAGAACACCGAACACCGAACACUGAACACCCAGAGAAACCGAACAAACACCAAGGACAUGCCUCGACUCAAGUAGAAACCAACUGCUCAUCCUCGGUUACCAAGCAAUUACCUGUACUCAAUACCACUAAGAACUAAUCAACGCACAGCAAUUAAUCGUAGCUAGAAAAAAAUCGCAUACAGCUCUUUCAAACCGAAAAAAACUGAAAAGGCCAGAACAAUUAUUUACAAAACUUAAGUUUAGGGAAAAGACUAGCAAAAUCGCUUGAGGGCUCAGCAGAAGUAGGGCAAUGAGUGUACAUAGAUGUAGGCAGUUCUAAACCAAUAUAGAAAUCCAAUUGGCGGCUGAUCGUGGCUUAAAAGUAACAGGACGAUGAGGACGACGAGAACGACUUCAGUGGCCCGGCGCUCGGUGGUCACGUGAAGACCCAGAGCGAUUUCUCCGACGACGAGGAGGAGGACAAGCCCAUGACCAUGCGGAUGAUGAUGAUGCGUCCGACGACUAC
Molecule: RNA transcript, 2935 nt
Organism: Drosophila subpulchrella
Lineage: Eukaryota; Metazoa; Arthropoda; Insecta; Diptera; Drosophilidae
Gene name: sodium-dependent neutral amino acid transporter B(0)AT3
Exons: 11
Source: RefSeq, a predicted model, not a curated record